AAGACUAUACUUUCAGAGAUUACUGCUGUUGUAUGUUACUAAAGAAAUGUUUCUGAACAUACAGGGCAUUGGAAACCCAGAUGAUGAGCUGUAGUGCUCUCUCCCGAGCCAGAGGCUGGCUUGUGGUAUUGCCUGGCAACAACUACCACUUCUCAAUGACUGGGAGAGAGAACAGGCUGAGUGGU
This is a small nucleolar RNA of Loxodonta africana (African savanna elephant), 185 nucleotides long. It matches the Rfam family "Small nucleolar RNA U3". Rfam says of the family: Small nucleolar RNAs (snoRNAs) are involved in the processing and modification of rRNA in the nucleolus. There are two main classes of snoRNAs: the box C/D class, and the box H/ACA class. Lineage: Eukaryota; Metazoa; Chordata; Mammalia; Proboscidea; Elephantidae. The record is from Rfam.